RNAcentral lists this ribosomal RNA (465 nucleotides) under Vreelandella stevensii. RNAcentral describes it as "partial 16S ribosomal RNA". It matches the Rfam family "Bacterial small subunit ribosomal RNA", at positions 338 to 795 of the family's 1533-position model. Lineage: Bacteria; Pseudomonadati; Pseudomonadota; Gammaproteobacteria; Oceanospirillales; Halomonadaceae. The record is from RNAcentral.
CCUACGGGCGACAGCAGUGGGGAAUAUUGGACAAUGGGGGCAACCCUGAUCCAGCCAUGCCGCGUGUGUGAAGAAGGCCCUCGGGUUGUAAAGCACUUUCAGUGAGGAAGAACGCCUGGUGGUUAAUACCCAUCAGGAAAGACAUCACUCACAGAAGAAGCACCGGCUAACUCCGUGCCAGCAGCCGCGGUAAUACGGAGGGUGCGAGCGUUAAUCGGAAUUACUGGGCGUAAAGCGCGCGUAGGUGGCUUGAUAAGCCGGUUGUGAAAGCCCCGGGCUCAACCUGGGAACGGCAUCCGGAACUGUCAAGCUAGAGUGCAGGAGAGGAAGGUAGAAUUCCCGGUGUAGCGGUGAAAUGCGUAGAGAUCGGGAGGAAUACCAGUGGCGAAGGCGGCCUUCUGGACUGACACUGACACUGAGGUGCGAAAGCGUGGGUAGCAAACAGGAUUAGAUACCCUUGUAGUC